Non-coding RNA from Arachis ipaensis, 730 nucleotides. The record is from RefSeq and is a predicted model, not a curated record. NCBI's taxonomy places the organism in Eukaryota, Viridiplantae, Streptophyta, Magnoliopsida, Fabales, Fabaceae.
AGCCUCAAUGUAGUCCCUGAAGUUGCACUCGAGCCUCAUAGUAGUCCCUGAACUUAAAAGUUCCUCAGAGUCAUCCCCGAACUUGCACUCCGGGACUCAAAGUGGUCCUUCCGGCAAUUUCAGCACACGUGGCGCAACCGGAAAGCUUAGCUGGCAGCGUUGGUGACAUGUGGGACUCACAACGGCUAGUUGAUGUGGCAGAGUAAACUCUUCCGACUUAAUUUGGUCCCUCAGGUGAAGUUAAAACCCUAAUCCCCUUUUUUGAAGGCCACAUUGUUCACUCUGCUGUCUCCUCAUCGGUGCUGUGUUCUUCUGUUCUCCCUCUCUGAAGCCCGAAGGUUAUGGCUAGCACGAGCAAUGCAGCUGGGAGCUCGAACAACCCACGAUCGUUUGGAAGCAUCAUGAGGAGAAUGAACAGAAAUAGAGAAGCUCGUUUGCCAAAAAUGAAAAAAAAAUCAUGGGAAGCCUGGUUUCUCUGAAAGAGGGCCUUAUAAAUGCAGUUAAGGAGGUUUUUCCAGAUGUCCAUCACAGAUUCUGUGUUUGGCAUCUGUGGAAGAACUUCAAUAAGUAAUGGAAGGAUCUCCAGUUUAGAGGGCUACUUUGGGAUUGUGCAAGGUGUACUAGCUAAGAUGGCUUCCUUGAUAUCAUCAAAAAGAUUGAAAGGGUUAAUAAGGAAGCCUGGGAGUAUUUGAACAAGUGGCCCUAUGCAAGGUGCAACACAGGGAACUGC